RNAcentral lists this ribosomal RNA (253 nucleotides) under uncultured bacterium. RNAcentral's name for it is "partial 16S ribosomal RNA". It matches the Rfam family "Bacterial small subunit ribosomal RNA", at positions 524 to 776 of the family's 1533-position model. The record is from RNAcentral.
UACGUAGGUGGCAAGCGUUGUCCGGAUUUAUUGGGUUUAAAGGGUGCGUAGGCGGCCUUGUAAGUCAGUGCUGAAAUACCCCGGCUUAACCGGGGGGGUGGCAUUGAUACUGCAGGGCUUGAGUACAGAUGAGGUAGGCGGAAUUGACGGUGUAGCGGUGAAAUGCAUAGAUAUGUCAUAGAACACCGAUUGCGAAGGCAGCUCACAAAACUGUGAUUGACGCUGAUGCACGAAAGCGUGGGGAUCAAACAGG